Molecule: ribosomal RNA, 247 nt
Filed under: uncultured bacterium
Lineage: Bacteria
Description: partial 16S ribosomal RNA
Rfam family: Bacterial small subunit ribosomal RNA
Source: RNAcentral
AUACGUAUGGGGCGAGCGUUGUUCGGAAUUAUUGGGCGUAAAGGGCGUCUAGGCGGGGAUUUAAGUUAGGUGUGAAAGCUAUGGGCUCAACCCAUAAAUUGCACCUAAAACUGGAUCUCUUGAGUUCGGGAGAGGAGAGCGGAAUUCCAGGUGUAGCGGUGAAAUGCGUAGAUAUCUGGAAGAACACCAGCGGCGAAGGCGGCUCUCUGGCCUAGAACUGACGCUGAAGCGCGAAAGCGUGGGGAGC